Small nuclear RNA from Hevea brasiliensis (rubber tree), 98 nucleotides. NCBI's taxonomy places the organism in Eukaryota, Viridiplantae, Streptophyta, Magnoliopsida, Malpighiales, Euphorbiaceae. The record is from RefSeq and is a predicted model, not a curated record.
AACUUCCCAGGAGGUUACCCACCCUAGCAUACAGAGAAGAUUAGCAUGGCCCCUGCACAAGGAUGACACGCACAAAUCGAGAAAUAAAGGUCCCUUAG